AUUGAACGCUGGCGGCAUGCUUUACACAUGCAAGUCGAACGGCAGCGCGGGCUUCGGCCUGGCGGCGAGUGGCGAACGGGUGAGUAAUACAUCGGAACGUGCCCAGUAGUGGGGGAUAGCUCGGCGAAAGCCGGAUUAAUACCGCAUACGACCUGAGGGUGAAAGCGGGGGACCUUCGGACCUCGCGCUAUGGGACCGGCCGAUGGCAGAUUAGCUAGUUGGUGGGGUAAAGGCCUACCAAGGCGACGAUCUGUAGCUGGUCUGAGAGGACGACCAGCCACACUGGGACUGAGACACGGCCCAGACUCCUACGGGAGGCAGCAGUGGGGAAUUUUGGACAAUGGGCGAAAGCCUGAUCCAGCAAUGCCGCGUGUGUGAUGAAGGCCUUCGGGUUGUAAAGCACUUUUGGCGGGAACGAAAAGGACUGUGCCAAUACCACGGUUCGAUGACGGUACCCGCAGAAUAAGCACCGGCUAACUACGUG
RNAcentral lists this ribosomal RNA (484 nucleotides) under uncultured bacterium. Its description in RNAcentral is "partial 16S ribosomal RNA". It matches the Rfam family "Bacterial small subunit ribosomal RNA", at positions 29 to 507 of the family's 1533-position model. The record is from RNAcentral.